Molecule: ribosomal RNA, 497 nt
Filed under: uncultured bacterium
Lineage: Bacteria
Description: partial 16S ribosomal RNA
Rfam family: Bacterial small subunit ribosomal RNA
Source: RNAcentral
GAUGAACGCUGGCGGCGUGCCUAAUACAUGCAAGUCGAGCGAACGGACGAGACGCUUGCUUCUCUGAUGUUAGCGGCGGACGGGUGUGUAACACGUGUAUCAUCUACCUAUAAGACUGGUAUAACUUCGGGACACCGGCGCUUAUACCGGAUAAUAUUUUGCACCGCAUGGUUCAUAAGUGAAAGACGGUCUUGCUGUCACUUCUCGCUGCUUCCGCGCUGCAUUAGCUAGUUGGUACGGUAACGGCCUACCAAGGCAACGAUGCAUAGCCGACCUGAGAGGGUGAUCGGCCACACGGGAACUGAGACACGGACAAGACUCCUACGGGAGGCAGCAGUAGGGAAUCGUACGCAAUGGGCGAAAGCCUGACGGAGCAACGCCGCGUGAGUGAUGAAGGUCCUGGGAGCGGAAAACUCUGUUAUUAGGGAAGAACAGAUGUGUAAGGAACUGUGCAGAGCGUGACGGUACCGAAUCAGAAAGCAACGGCUAACUACGUG